RNAcentral lists this ribosomal RNA (2121 nucleotides) under Salmonella enterica subsp. enterica serovar Enteritidis. RNAcentral's name for it is "partial 23S ribosomal RNA". It matches the Rfam family "Bacterial large subunit ribosomal RNA", at positions 700 to 2802 of the family's 2925-position model. The record is from RNAcentral. Lineage: Bacteria; Pseudomonadati; Pseudomonadota; Gammaproteobacteria; Enterobacterales; Enterobacteriaceae.
UUGCAGGGUAUAGACCCGAAACCCGGUGAUCUAGCCAUGGGCAGGUUGAAGGUUGGGUAACACUAACUGGAGGACCGAACCGACUAAUGUUGAAAAAUUAGCGGAUGACCUGUGGCUGGGGGUGAAAGGCCAAUCAAACCGGGAGAUAGCUGGUUCUCCCCGAAAGCUAUUUAGGUAGCGCCUCGUGAAUUCAUCUCCGGGGGUAGAGCACUGUUUCGGCUAGGGGGCCAUCCCGGCUUACCAACCCGAUGCAAACUGCGAAUACCGGAGAAUGUUAUCACGGGAGACACACGGCGGGUGCUAACGUCCGUCGUGAAGAGGGAAACAACCCAGACCGCCAGCUAAGGUCCCAAAGUCAUGGUUAAGUGGGAAACGAUGUGGGAAGGCCCAGACAGCCAGGAUGUUGGCUUAGAAGCAGCCAUCAUUUAAAGAAAGCGUAAUAGCUCACUGGUCGAGUCGGCCUGCGCGGAAGAUGUAACGGGGCUAAACCAUGCACCGAAGCUGCGGCAGCGACACUGUGUGUUGUUGGGUAGGGGAGCGUUCUGUAAGCCUGUGAAGGUGUGUCGUGAGGCAUGCUGGAGGUAUCAGAAGUGCGAAUGCUGACAUAAGUAACGAUAAAGCGGGUGAAAAGCCCGCUCGCCGGAAGACCAAGGGUUCCUGUCCAACGUUAAUCGGGGCAGGGUGAGUCGACCCCUAAGGCGAGGCCGAAAGGCGUAGUCGAUGGGAAACGGGUUAAUAUUCCCGUACUUGGUGUUACUGCGAAGGGGGGACGGAGAAGGCUAUGUUGGCCGGGCGACGGUUGUCCCGGUUUAAGCGUGUAGGUGUGUGUUCCAGGUAAAUCCGGUUCACUUUAACACUGAGGCGUGACGACGAGGCACUACGGUGCUGAAGCAACAAAUGCCCUGCUUCCAGGAAAAGCCUCUAAGCAUCAGGUAACAUCAAAUCGUACCCCAAACCGACACAGGUGGUCAGGUAGAGAAUACCAAGGCGCUUGAGAGAACUCGGGUGAAGGAACUAGGCAAAAUGGUGCCGUAACUUCGGGAGAAGGCACGCUGACACGUAGGUGAAGUGAUUUACUCAUGGAGCUGAAGUCAGUCGAAGAUACCAGCUGGCUGCAACUGUUUAUUAAAAACACAGCACUGUGCAAACACGAAAGUGGACGUAUACGGUGUGACGCCUGCCCGGUGCCGGAAGGUUAAUUGAUGGGGUCAGCGCAAGCGAAGCUCCUGAUCGAAGCCCCGGUAAACGGCGGCCGUAACUAUAACGGUCCUAAGGUAGCGAAAUUCCUUGUCGGGUAAGUUCCGACCUGCACGAAUGGCGUAAUGAUGGCCAGGCUGUCUCCACCCGAGACUCAGUGAAAUUGAACUCGCUGUGAAGAUGCAGUGUACCCGCGGCAAGACGGAAAGACCCCGUGAACCUUUACUAUAGCUUGACACUGAACAUUGAGCCUUGAUGUGUAGGAUAGGUGGGAGGCUUUGAAGUGUGGACGCCAGUCUGCAUGGAGCCGACCUUGAAAUACCACCCUUUAAUGUUUGAUGUUCUAACGUGGACCCGUUACCCGGGUUGCGGACAGUGUCUGGUGGGUAGUUUGACUGGGGCGGUCUCCUCCUAAAGAGUAACGGAGGAGCACGAAGGUUGGCUAAUCCUGGUCGGACAUCAGGAGGUUAGUGCAAUGGCAUAAGCCAGCUUGACUGCGAGCGUGACGGCGCGAGCAGGUGCGAAAGCAGGUCAUAGUGAUCCGGUGGUUCUGAAUGGAAGGGCCAUCGCUCAACGGAUAAAAGGUACUCCGGGGAUAACAGGCUGAUACCGCCCAAGAGUUCAUAUCGACGGCGGUGUUUGGCACCUCGAUGUCGGCUCAUCACAUCCUGGGGCUGAAGUAGGUCCCAAGGGUAUGGCUGUUCGCCAUUUAAAGUGGUACGCGAGCUGGGUUUAGAACGUCGUGAGACAGUUCGGUCCCUAUCUGCCGUGGGCGCUGGAGAACUGAGGGGGGCUGCUCCUAGUACGAGAGGACCGGAGUGGACGCAUCACUGGUGUUCGGGUUGUCAUGCCAAUGGCACUGCCCGGUAGCUAAAUGCGGAAGAGAUAAGUGCUGAAAGCAUCUAAGCACGAAACUUGCCCCGA